RNAcentral lists this ribosomal RNA (369 nucleotides) under uncultured soil bacterium. Its description in RNAcentral is "bacterial SSU rRNA". It matches the Rfam family "Bacterial small subunit ribosomal RNA", at positions 26 to 405 of the family's 1533-position model. The record is from RNAcentral.
AGGACGAACGCUGGCGGCGUGCUUAACACAUGCAAGUCACGGGGGCCCGCAAGGGCAACCGGCGAACGGGUGCGUAACACGUGAACAACCUGCCCUCGUGUGGGGGAUAGCCAUGCUAACGCGUGGGUAAUACCGCAUACGUUCCCUUGGAGGAGUCUCUGGGGGGAGAAAGCUCCGGCGCGACGGGGGAGGGUUCGCGGCCUAUCAGCUAGUGGCGGGUAACGCCACAAGCGACGACGGUAGCUGGCUGAGAGGAUGGCCAGCCACAGUUGGGACUGAGAGACGGCCCAGACUCCGUACGGAGGCAGCAGUGGGGAAUCUUGCGUCAAGUCGGACCGAAAGGCUGGACGCGAAGCGACGCCGCGUGGU